Molecule: ribosomal RNA, 492 nt
Filed under: uncultured bacterium
Lineage: Bacteria
Description: partial 16S ribosomal RNA
Rfam family: Bacterial small subunit ribosomal RNA
Source: RNAcentral
AGUGAACGCUGGCGGUAGGCCUAACGCAUGCAAGUCGAACGGCAGCACAGUAAGAGCUUGCUCUUACGGGUGGCGAGUGGCGGACGGGUGAGGAAUACAUCGGAAUCUACUUUUUCGUGGGGGAUAACGUAGGGAAACUUACGCUAAUACCGCAUACGACCUACGGGUGAAAGCAGGGGAUCUUCGGACCUUGCGCGAUUGAAUGAGCCGAUGUCGGAUUAGUUAGUUGGCGGGGUAAAGGCCCACCAAGGCGACGAUCCGUAGCUGGUCUGAGAGGAUGAUCAGCCACACUGGAACUGAGACACGGUCCAGACUCCUACGGGAGGCAGCAGUGGGGAAUAUUGGACAAUGGGCGCAAGCCUGAUCCAGCCAUACCGCGUGGGUGAAGAAGGCCUUCGGGUUGUAAAGCCCUUUUGUUGGGAAAGAAAAGCAGCAGGUUAAUACCCCGCUGUUCUGACGGUACCCAAAGAAUAAGCACCGGCUAACUUCGUG